This is a long non-coding RNA of Pezoporus occidentalis (night parrot), 2327 nucleotides long. RefSeq lists it as uncharacterized. The transcript is spliced from 6 exons. The record is from RefSeq and is a predicted model, not a curated record. Lineage: Eukaryota; Metazoa; Chordata; Aves; Psittaciformes; Psittacidae.
AGCGCCAGCACCAAGACACGAGGGAAAAACCUCAGUUAGGGUGGGAAAUGCGCAAGAUGUAAUCCCGCUCCCCAAACUGGAGCCGGGACGGAACAGAGGGCAAAGUCCGAGGGAAUUCCCGGCCUUUCGCCGGGGCUAAUGGAAUGAGUCAUCGACAGAGUGGAUUAUUUAAAGCACCAUGAGCUGGGCAUAUCAAAGCUUUUGACAAGACUCGGGAAUGAUAGCGCUGCCCAUCGCUGCUGGUUUGAGCAGAAGGUUGCAGUUAUGCCCCCCUCACCUUCUAAGGGCUCCAGCGCUGUGCAGCUCUGGCUGAGAAUGGGGCCUUCCCCCCUGUUCCCAGCAGUGCCCUUCCGCCCUCAGCCUGCUGCACGGUUCUCCUUGCCGUUUAGAUCAGGAGGAAAAUUAAGCUGUGAACUGGAAUUCCAUCAGGCUGUCUACUGUGAAGCCCUGUGGCUUUAGCAAAGGGGCAACAGUGGUCAGAAAUGACACUCAAAAGAGAACAGACAUUCCCAGAUUUGCUGGGUACACUGCCAGGCUGGUGCUUCCUUUUACCUCCCUGGGGCUGUAUUCUGUAGUUCAGGGAAAGAAUUGUUUUUUGGACCUAAAAAUGCAAGUAUAUGCUUGUUUUCUUCAUAUAGGUAUAAGACAGUCCUUUGUCUCUUGCGUGCAUAUAUGUGCAACUUCAAUAACUUGCUGAUCCUGUCACUGUUUACACAACUUGCUCUCUGCAUGCGUCUGACCAGCUGUGGUUUAUACACGGACAUGUUAGAUUUUGUGCACAGUGUCUGAAGAUAUCAAAUUAGUCUGCAAAGAUCCUCCAACCUUUUCAUUUUUCUGUUAGAUUAAAGGUUUGCCUUGCUAUAUUUGGUGUGGAUUUCUCCUUCCCUCUUUGCUGCACAGUGUUAUGUUCCGCUCAUCCAUAUCUCCUGUGUUUCUGCCCUAAAGAAGGCGGAAUUUCAACAGGAAAAAAAAAAGGAAAAAGAAGGAUUCUAUUGUGCUCUGUAUAGCUUGAAAAACACCCUGUGGGAUGAAUUGUGCAAUUUUAAUAUUCAUUAUCUCAAAUGUAGACAACAGAGUAGACUGUAGUAGGAAAGACUGAUUAGCAGAUCACUGACUAUAGUUUUUUCAACUCAGGACAUUAUUUGGUGAUAAGUGAGUAAAACAGUUUCUUGAGACCUGAAUCUUUGGUGUUCUAAAAUGCAAUGUAACGGCUGUGUGGGAGCCAUCCUUCAGUAAACACAUACACGGGAGCUCACGAGCCAUGCAUGGACAGAACUGACUUCCUUUGUAAGCCUUAGGCCUUACUGCUUAGAAGCUGAGACCAGGAGAUUUCUGUUGCUCUCUCCAGCUCUAAAUGAAAGACCGGUUCAGAAGGAAGUGCAGGAGGGGAGCAUGCAAUCAGUCCAUAAAGUGAAUGGUAAUGUUUUAAUUACAAUUCUAUUGUUAUUCUUCCUAUAUGGCUGUUCGGGGUUGUGUAGUUUGCAUAUUCAUUCCUUUCAUUCUCACAGAGGUUUUGUUGUCGGGUUUUUUUGUUUGGAAAAAGUUUGACUCCAAAAAGAGGCCAAAGUUUUCAUUAACAGGCUAUGAGGGAAAGAAAGAAGAAAGGGCUGUUUUCUCUAUAUCCAAAGAUUUCUGCAGAGUAAGGAUACAAGGAUAAUUCUGAAGAAAUAGAGAUAAAAAGAUUUAUUUUUUUUUUUUUUAGACAAGAGACAAGUGCAAGUCAAAUUGUACGUGGCAGCAAGAUUUGGGAGCAUAAUGAAAUUUAGACAAGCAAAAAACUCCUCUAACCCUCACCAAAUGCAAUCAAAAUGAACUGAUAAUUUUUGUAAAGCUGCAGUACUUGCAAGUUCCUUUUUUCAUGUGAACUUUUCCAUUGUUAAAAACUUCAGCACUACAUACUGGGUUAAUUCCUUUCCCAUAGAAUACAUGUAUUCACAAUAUUUUUUCUUUUUUUCUUUCUUAAAAAAAAAUAAAAUUAGCAAAUAAUGUGGAAUUCAUAGCAGACUUCCAGCUCCUGCGGAAGAGUGAAGAUGCUUUUGCUUUGCAUAACCUUUGCAUAUAAGGAAGCCAUUGUGUCAGUCUACUUUAGCUCCUUCAAGGAGCCAUCUCGCUCCUGACAAGUGGAUUAGCUCUCCGAGGGGCUGCGGCUCCCUCCCGCUCAGGGACCGCAUCCAUCACCCCUCACGCGCACACCCGCUGCGGCCCCCACUCAGCCUAGCACUGGCUCCACCUCACAUCUGGACUUCUGAAAUCUCAGCACCGAUAGUCCCUAAGUGGGAUAAAUUUAGUUUUUUACACGUGCCCUAUGAUCUUUUAUUUCUCUCUUC